This 253-nucleotide ribosomal RNA is filed under the name uncultured bacterium. RNAcentral's name for it is "partial 16S ribosomal RNA". It matches the Rfam family "Bacterial small subunit ribosomal RNA", at positions 524 to 776 of the family's 1533-position model. The record is from RNAcentral.
GACGAAGGGGGCUAGCGUUGUUCGGAAUUACUGGGCGUAAAGCGCGUGUAGGCGGUUGUUCAAGUCGGGUGUGAAAGCCUUGAGCUCAACUCAAGAAAUGCACUCGAUACUGGGCGACUAGAGUGCCGGAGAGGAUAGUGGAAUUCCCAGUGUAGUGGUGAAAUACGUAGAGAUUGGGAAGAACACCAGUGGCGAAGGCGGCUAUCUGGACGGUUACUGACGCUAAGACGCGAAAGCGUGGGGAGCAAACAGG